Molecule: ribosomal RNA, 496 nt
Filed under: uncultured bacterium
Lineage: Bacteria
Description: partial 16S ribosomal RNA
Rfam family: Bacterial small subunit ribosomal RNA
Source: RNAcentral
AUGAACGCUGGCGGCGUGCCUAAUACAUGCAAGUCGAGCGAACGGACGAGAAGCUUGCUUCUCUGAUGUUAGCGGCGGACGGGUGAGUAACACGUGGAUAACCUACCUAUAAGACUGGGAUAACUUCGGGAAACCGUAGCUAAUACCGGAUAAUAUUUUGAACCGCACGGUUCAAAAGUGAAAGACGGUCUUGCUGUCACUUAUAGAUGGAUCCGCGCUGCAUUAGCUAGUUGGUAAGGUAACGGCUUACCAAGGCAACGAUGCAUAGCCGACCUGAGAGGGUGAUCGGCCACACUGGAACUGAGACACGGUCCAGACUCCUACGGGAGGCAGCAGUAGGGAAUCUUCCGCAAUGGGCGAAAGCCUGACGGAGCAACGCCGCGUGAGUGAUGAAGGUCUUCGGAUCGUAAAACUCUGUUAUUAGGGAAGAACAUAUGUGUAAGUAACUGUGCACAUCUUGACGGUACCUAAUCAGAAAGCCACGGCUAACUACGUG